CCUGCCUCAGCCUCCCAAAGUGCUGGGAUUACAGGCAUGAGCCAGCACACCUUGCCCGUCUAGUGACUUUUAUUGUGGGAGAGAAAACUUCUGCCUUGAAAUGUAAGUUUGAAUGAUUUUCAAUGUGCCAGCCUCUAUGACAAGUACCUAGCAAAGAAUUUAAGAUUCACAGCAACCCUAUCAUAUAGCCAUUGUACAGCCCCAUUUUACACAUAAGAAAAGUAAAGCAUAGAGAAAUUAAACAAUGUGAAUCAAGGGCAAGAUUAAAUAGCUAAUCACAGGCAGGGCAAGUCAGGAUUUGAACUCCGGUCUGACUGGUCAUUCAUUACAUGGAUUCUUUAAUCUUGCCUGGUGCCUGUCUCUUACCAUUGGAUUUAUAAACCAUGCUGUAGACUACCCAGGGGGUACUUAUUAUUUAAAGCAUUUGCAUGGCACUUUAUGUUUGCAAUGUGUUUUACAAUUGUUUUUAUUACUUAUUCCUAUUUUAUAGCUGGUCUCAGUUUAUAGCAUGCUUUCUGCAAUAACAGUUGUAAAGAAAAACAAACAAACAUGGAAACCAUCUCUGCAUUGCUGGAGAGGGCAAUCAGAAUCUUCAGCAUUCCAGUCCUAAGUCCUUCUUACAGAGGGAAUGAUGAAGGAGGAUGUGGUGGAAUCACCUCCCCAGGAUGUCUGCUUUAAAUGGAAACCAGGAAACACAACAGAAAGAUGACUCGUCCUUCAAAAAAACUGCCAUG
Molecule: long non-coding RNA, 734 nt
Filed under: Callithrix jacchus (white-tufted-ear marmoset)
Lineage: Eukaryota; Metazoa; Chordata; Mammalia; Primates; Cebidae
Description: lncRNA (ENSCJAG00000066323.2)
Source: RNAcentral